UGAGGAAUAUUGGGCAAUGGGCGCAAGCCUGACCCAGCAACGCCGCGUGGAGGAAGACGGCCUUCGGGUUGUAAACUCCUUUUACGGGGGAAGAGGAAGGACGGUACCCCGAGAAUAAGUCACGGCUAACUACGUGCCAGCAGCCGCGGUAAUACGUAGGUGACAAGCGUUAUCCGGAAUUACUGGGCGUAAAGCGCACGCAGGCGGCGCGGUAAGUCUGAUGUGAAAUCUCCUGGCUUAACUGGGAGGGGUCAUUGGAAACUGCCGAGCUUGAGGCGAUGAGAGGGGUGUAGAAUUCCCGGUGUAGUGGUGGAAUGCGUAGAUAUCGGGAGGAAUACCAGUGGCGAAAGCGACACCCUGGCAUUAGCCUGACGCUCAUGUGCGAAGGCGUGGGGAGCGAACGGGAUUAGAUACCCCGGUAGUCCACGCGGUAAACGAUGAAUACUAGGUGUGGGUGGAGUGAAAUCCAUCUGUGCCGAAGCAAACGCGCUAAGUA
Molecule: ribosomal RNA, 496 nt
Filed under: uncultured Chloroflexota bacterium
Lineage: Bacteria; Bacillati; Chloroflexota
Description: bacterial SSU rRNA
Rfam family: Bacterial small subunit ribosomal RNA
Source: RNAcentral